GGUUGAGUGAUGAUGCCCGAAAAC
RNAcentral lists this non-coding RNA (24 nucleotides) under Gossypium hirsutum (cotton). The record is from RNAcentral. Lineage: Eukaryota; Viridiplantae; Streptophyta; Magnoliopsida; Malvales; Malvaceae.